This 375-nucleotide ribosomal RNA is filed under the name uncultured organism. RNAcentral describes it as "bacterial SSU rRNA". It matches the Rfam family "Bacterial small subunit ribosomal RNA", at positions 526 to 896 of the family's 1533-position model. The record is from RNAcentral.
CGGGGGGAGCAAGCGUUGUUCGGAUUUACUGGGCGUAAAGGGCGCGUAGGCGGCCACCGCAAGUCGACUGUGAAAUCUCCGGGCUUAACUCGGAAAGGUCAGCCGAUACUGCGGGGCUAGAGUGCAGAAGGGGCAACUGGAAUUCUCGGUGUAGCGGUGAAAUGCGUAGAUAUCGAGAGGAACACCUGCGGCGAAGGCGGGUUGCUGGGCUGACACUGACGCUGAGGCGCGAAAGCUAGGGGGAGCGAACGGGAUUAGAUACCCCGGUAGUCCUAGCCUUAAACGAUGAAUGCUUGGUGUCUGGGGUUUUAUAGUCCCCGGGUGCCGUCGCUAACGCUUUAAGCAUUCCGCCUGGGGAGUACGGUCGCAAGACUG